AUUGAACGCUGGCGGCAGGCCUAACACAUGCAAGUCGAGCGGAUGAAGGGAGCUUGCUCCUGGAUUCAGCGGCGGACGGGUGAGUAAUGCCUAGGAAUCUGCCUGGUAGCGGGGGAUAACGUCCGGAAACGGGCGCUGAUACCGCAUACGUCCUGAGGGAGAAAGUGGGGGAUCUUCGGACCUCACGCUAUCAGAUGAGCCUAGGUCGGAUUAGCUAGUUGGUGGGGUAAAGGCCUACCAAGGCGACGAUCCGUAACUGGUCUGAGAGGAUGAUCAGUCACACUGGAACUGAGACACGGUCCAGACUCCUACGGGAGGCAGCAGUGGGGAAUAUUGGACAAUGGGCGAAAGCCUGAUCCAGCCAUGCCGCGUGUGUGAAGAAGGUCUUCGGAUUGUAAAGCACUUUAAGUUGGGAGGAAGGGCAGUAAGUUAAUACCUUGCUGUUUUGACGUUACCAACAGAAUAAGCACCGGCUAACUUCGUG
RNAcentral lists this ribosomal RNA (484 nucleotides) under uncultured bacterium. RNAcentral's name for it is "partial 16S ribosomal RNA". It matches the Rfam family "Bacterial small subunit ribosomal RNA", at positions 30 to 507 of the family's 1533-position model. The record is from RNAcentral.